CCCUUAGAUGUUCUGGGCCGCACGCGCGCUACACUGACGAUGGCAACGAGUUUUUCCUUCGCCGAAAGGUGUGAGUAAUCUUUUGAAACAUCGUCGUGCUGGGGAUAGAUCAUUGCAAUUUUUGAUCUUGAACGAGGAAUUCCUAGUAAGCGCGAGUCAUCAGCUCGCGUUGAUUACGUCCCUGCCCUUUGUACACACCGCCCGUCGCUACUACCGAUUGAAUGGUUUAGUGAGGACUCCUGAUUGGCGCCGCCGCCCCGGCAACGGAGCAGCGGACUGCCGAAAAGUUGUUCAAACUUGAUCAUUUAGAGGAAGUAAAAGUCGUAACA
RNAcentral lists this ribosomal RNA (329 nucleotides) under uncultured eukaryote. RNAcentral's name for it is "partial 18S ribosomal RNA". It matches the Rfam family "Eukaryotic small subunit ribosomal RNA", at positions 1470 to 1796 of the family's 1831-position model. The record is from RNAcentral.